AUUGAAACAAUUCAGAAUUUCGUAUAUCCGUUCCGGUUUGGUUCUACAUUUAGCGACCUAAUUCUGCUUCCCGUAGUGACAGAAAAAUGGGCUUCAAUAUUGUCAUUAUUGAGUAAAUGUUGUUGGUGUCUUAUUGAAAGAAGACUAAUUAAUUAAACAGAAUGAGAUCAUAAAUAGAGAAGCUUACAGAAGAUGGGGCCUUUCGAAUGAAGGAGAGUAAGGAAAGUGAUUGGGCUAUUCCAAGAAGUGAAGAAUCAAAUUGUCAUGUGUUUGGAAUUAAGAAUAUUGUACAACUAUUCCCACAAGAAGAAGCAUUUCCCUACAGCCUAGUACAGGGUACCAUGUGGCAAUAUAAAUCCAAAGGACAAACAAGGCCAAGUUAAAAGCCACUUUCC
Saccostrea cuccullata (small rock oyster) is the source of this 395-nucleotide long non-coding RNA. RefSeq lists it as uncharacterized. The record is from RefSeq and is a predicted model, not a curated record. Lineage: Eukaryota; Metazoa; Mollusca; Bivalvia; Ostreida; Ostreidae. The transcript has 3 exons.